Molecule: ribosomal RNA, 253 nt
Filed under: uncultured bacterium
Lineage: Bacteria
Description: partial 16S ribosomal RNA
Rfam family: Bacterial small subunit ribosomal RNA
Source: RNAcentral
UACGGGGGGGGCAAGCGUUGUUCGGAAUUACUGGGCGUAAAGGGUUCGUAGGUGGCCAACUAAGUCAGACGUGAAAUCCCUCAGCUUAACUGGGGAACUGCGUCUGAGACUGGAUGGCUUGAGUGCAGGAGAGGAACGCGGAAUUCCGGGUGUAGCGGUGGAAUGCGUAGAGAUCCGGAAGAACACCGGUGGCGAAGGCGGUCUGCUGGGCAGUUGCUGACACUGAGGCGCGACAGCGUGGGGAGCAAACAGG